This 462-nucleotide ribosomal RNA is filed under the name Triticum aestivum (bread wheat). RNAcentral's name for it is "partial small subunit ribosomal RNA". Lineage: Eukaryota; Viridiplantae; Streptophyta; Magnoliopsida; Poales; Poaceae. The record is from RNAcentral.
AUGGCGACCGCGAUCAUGCUGCAGUGGCUGGUUUGCUCUUUGCUGCCCAGUACUUAUGAAUAUAGAUUGGUUACUCCACUGCAUGUUACUCCGUGUGAGGUGGGCUUAAAUUUCUUGUUCAGCCUCUUCGGACCCUUCCACCUCUCCGGCCUCACCACUGGAGACUCAGAUGCGAGAACCGCCACCGCCGCCGCCGUGUCUGUCGGUGACGCUCACACAAGAAUCCAGAGGCAGUACCUUGGUCCUCUCCCUGAGAACAACAGCUGUCUCAUGAUGCGGUCGCGGCCCGAGGGUGGCGGGACUGACGCCACCGUCCAUGCCAUGUUCUGGCUGAUCCCCAAGGCUCCUUGCCGAUGUCCAACCAGCGCCACACAGCCAAUGGAGAGUGGAGGGGGCGUGUCCUACCUGGCACCGCCGAGCUUCUGCUCAGGCGGCACGCCAUGGGCGCGCCCCAACCACUAG